This 375-nucleotide ribosomal RNA is filed under the name uncultured bacterium. RNAcentral's name for it is "bacterial SSU rRNA". It matches the Rfam family "Bacterial small subunit ribosomal RNA", at positions 918 to 1297 of the family's 1533-position model. The record is from RNAcentral.
GGCCCGCACAAGCGGUGGAGUAUGUGGUUUAAUUCGAUGCAACGCGAAGAACCUUACCAGGGUUUGACAUCCUGCGAAUCUCUUGGAAACUUGAGAGUGCCUUCGGGAGCGCAGUGACAGGUGGUGCAUGGCUGUCGUCAGCUCGUGUCGUGAGAUGUUGGGUUAAGUCCCGCAACGAGCGCAACCCACGUCUUUAGUUGCCAGCAUUUAGUUGGGCACUCUAGAGAGACCGCCGGUGAUAAACCGGAGAAGGUGUGGAUGACGUCAAGUCAUCAUGCCCCUUACAUCUGGGCUACACACGUACUACAAUGCUACGGACAAAGGGCAGCAAGUUCGCGAGGACAAGCAAAUCCCAUAAACGUGGCUCAGUUCAGA